GCAAUAGCCUCGCUCCUCCCUGCCUGGGGGUCUGAUCCUGCCCCUGCCGGGGUGAUGCUGAGUCCCCCGAAUCCACCCCUCUCCCUCUCCCACAGGGUGCCGAUGGCCAGCCUGGUGCUAAAGGUGAAACUGGGGAUGCUGGAGCCAAGGGUGAUGCCGGUCCCCCCGGCCCUGCUGGCCCCACUGGUGCUCCUGGACCUGCUGGUGCUGUUGGUGCUCCUGGUCCCAAAGGUGCUCGCGGAAGCGCCGGACCCCCUGGUGCUACUGGUUUCCCUGGUGCUGCUGGACGAGUUGGACCCCCCGGCCCCUCUGUGAGUACCCCCAGGGGUGAGAGGUGUGGGGGCCGGGAGGGUGCCUGUGAUGGGGAAUACGGGAGGUGCUGGGCACCCAUCCAGGCUGCUCCAUGUGGCCUCCCUGUCCCAUCUGGCACCGGGAUACCCCUGGCCGCCCUUCAGCUGGCAG
This 462-nucleotide long non-coding RNA is filed under the name Manacus vitellinus (golden-collared manakin). RNAcentral's name for it is "lncRNA (ENSMVIG00005005409.1)". The record is from RNAcentral. Lineage: Eukaryota; Metazoa; Chordata; Aves; Passeriformes; Pipridae.